Molecule: ribosomal RNA, 100 nt
Filed under: Microcebus murinus (gray mouse lemur)
Lineage: Eukaryota; Metazoa; Chordata; Mammalia; Primates; Cheirogaleidae
Source: RNAcentral
GUCUACAGCCACUCCAUCCUGAAUGCUCCUGAUCUUGUCUGAGAUCUUGGAAGCUAAGCAGGGUCGGGCCUGGUUAGUACUUAGAUAGGAGAAAUUGACA